AGAGUUUGAUCAUGGCUCAGAACGAACGCUGGCGGCGUGCCUAACACAUGCAAGUCCGACGUGAAAGGGGAGCAAUCCCCCGGUAGGGUGGCAAACGGGUGAGUAAGACAUGGGUGAUCUACCUUGGGGAUGGGGAUAUCCUUCCGAAAGGAGGGGCAAUACCGAAUAUUGUCCGGAUCCGUGAAGGGAUUCGGGGAAAGGGAGACCUCUGAUACAAGCUUCCGCCUUAAGAUGAGCCCAUGGCCCAUCAGCUAGUUGGUAGGGUAAAGGCCUACCAAGGCGACGACGGGUCGCUGGUCUGAGAGGACGACCAGCCACACUGGCACUGAGAUACGGGCCAGACUCCUACGGGAGGCAGCAGUGAGGAAUAUUGCGCAAUGGGGGCAACCCUGACGCAGCAACGCCGCGUGUGGGAAGAAGGCCUUCGGGUUGUAAACCACUUUUACCCGGGACGAAAAGGGGAUGUUGAAUACACAUGCCCGAUGACGGUACCGGGAGAAUAAGCCACGGCUAACUCUGUGCCAGCAGCCGCGGUAAGACAGAGGUGGCAAGCGUUGUUCGGAAUUACUGGGCGUAAAGAGUCUGUAGGUGGUUUGUCAAGUCUUUGGUGAAAGGCCGUGGCUUAACCAUGGGAAUGCCAAAGAGACUGACAGGCUGGAGGCUGGGAGAGGGAAGCGGAAUUUCUGGUGUAGCGGUGAAAUGCGUAGAUAUCAGAAGGAAGGCCGGUGGCGAAAGCGGCUUCCUGGAACAGUCCUGACACUGAGAGACGAAAGCGUGGGGAGCAAACAGGAUUAGAUACCCUGGUAGUCCACGCCCUAAACGAUGGGUACUAA
Molecule: ribosomal RNA, 833 nt
Filed under: uncultured Leptospirillum sp.
Lineage: Bacteria; Pseudomonadati; Nitrospirota; Nitrospiria; Nitrospirales; Nitrospiraceae
Description: bacterial SSU rRNA
Rfam family: Bacterial small subunit ribosomal RNA
Source: RNAcentral